This 268-nucleotide ribosomal RNA is filed under the name uncultured bacterium. Its description in RNAcentral is "partial 16S ribosomal RNA". It matches the Rfam family "Bacterial small subunit ribosomal RNA", at positions 333 to 615 of the family's 1533-position model. The record is from RNAcentral.
GAGAUCCUACGGGGCGCAGCAGUGGGGAAUAUUGGGCAAUGGGCGCAAGCCUGACCCAGCAACGCCGCGUGAAGGAAGAAGGCUUUCGGGUUGUAAACUUCUUUUAUGAGGGACGAAAGAAAUGACGGUACCUCGUGAAUAAGCCACGGCUAACUACGUGCCAGCAGCCGCGGUAAUACGUAGGUGGCAAGCGUUAUCCGGAUUUACUGGGUGUAAAGGGCGUGUAGGCGGGACUGCAAGUCCGAUGUGAAAAUUAUAGGCUCAACCC